UCAGCACCAAAAAAUAAAUAUUUUGUUGGACUGCCUUUUGUCUUGACUACAGCACACAUUCGCUGUGGCAUUGUUUUAAUAAGCUUCUGCAAUGUUAGAAGAUUUAUUUACAGCCAUUCACCAAGAUCUUCCAUUGAUGAUGGUAGAUUCUGACUGCUGUGCAAAGCCUUCUGCAGCACAUCCCAAAGAUUCUCAUUGGGGCAAGGUCUGGACUCUGUGGUGGCCACUCCAUCUGUGAAAAGAU
This is a long non-coding RNA of Xiphophorus hellerii (green swordtail), 244 nucleotides long. RefSeq lists it as uncharacterized. The record is from RefSeq and is a predicted model, not a curated record. Lineage: Eukaryota; Metazoa; Chordata; Actinopteri; Cyprinodontiformes; Poeciliidae. The transcript has 3 exons.